GAAAACUGCUUAUCGGCGGACUGGGCUGUAUUCGUCUUUCGCUGGAGGAACUGCUCGGUGGUCAGCUCUGCGUGUCCGACUAUUUGGUGGGUUUUCACUGACUCCUUUACAUCAAUGUGGAAAUGUUUCACAUUGUCAUAUUAGCUUCCACAAAUGAAGUGGAAGUUGUUCCAGCAAAUUGGUUUAAAAAAAAACACCUGUCUGUGGCCACCAUACAAAUGGGAUGAUGUUGUAAAAGCAGUAAGAUCACAGGAACAACCUGGAACACGUUGGAUUCCGUACAAACUACUUAUGAGGAAGCGAGGGUCAAACUGCCAGAGCCUGAAAGAUUCACGGAUUUGACUGAUUCAGAAACCAGCCACAGAGACACAAACGGAGAACAAUGAAGAGGUGUCACAUUCAAGAUGAUGCGGAUAGUGAAGAUGAGACGUCGGGAGCAUCUACUUUACCUAGACCUCCAGAAAUGGCCACUGCAAAGAAGCUGUCACCCUCAAUCCUACAAUGGCGGGCGGAUGGACAGACAAACGGACAAAGAAACCCCAACGAUUACUUUACCUCUGCUGGCGGAGCGGGCAAAGUUUUACAUCAGAAGAUGACAAGAAUGCAGUAAGAAGAAAUCCAUUGACAGCCACAGCUACAGACCAGGAUAUUGAGCAGUGGAUUCGAAGGUGGCUCCAUGUUGCUGGGGACAGAGAAGGAGGACGCCGAGCCAGGCAGCGGCCUGAGUAAACUGACUGUUCUGCCCAAAGAAUUUCUGAUGUUACUUGUUGUAGUAGUAGUUCUUGUUUUAAAUGUUUA
Salarias fasciatus (jewelled blenny) is the source of this 798-nucleotide long non-coding RNA. RefSeq lists it as uncharacterized. The record is from RefSeq and is a predicted model, not a curated record. Lineage: Eukaryota; Metazoa; Chordata; Actinopteri; Blenniiformes; Blenniidae. The transcript has 8 exons.